GUAGGUGAACCUGCGGAAGGAUCAUUAUUGAUUGGUCGAAAGACCUUAUCAGAUUCUACCACCUCUGUGAACCGUUGACCUCCGGGUUAAUAAUCAAACAUCAGUGUAACGAACGUAAGAGUAUCUUAAUUAAACAAAACUUUUAACAACGGAUCUCUUGGCUCUCGCAUCGAUGAAGAACGCAGCGAAAUGCGAUAAGUAAUGUGAAUUGCAGAAUUCAGUGAAUCAUCGAAUCUUUGAACGCACCUUGCGCCUUUUGGUAUUCCGAAAGGCAUGCCUGUUUCAGUGUCAUGAAAUCUCAAUCUAAUAUGUUUUCUGAACAUGUUAGGCUUGGACUUGGGUGUCUGCCAGCAAUGGCUCACCUCAAAUGACUUAGUGGAACAUCCCACAUCAGUGUUAGACGUAAUAAGUUUCGUCUCUCCUUGUGGUGAUGACUGCUCAAAACCUGCCAUCGCGUACCUUUUGGCUUUGACCUGAAAUCAGGUAGGGCUACCCGCUGAACUUAAGCAUAUCA
This 514-nucleotide ribosomal RNA is filed under the name uncultured fungus. RNAcentral describes it as "eukaryotic LSU rRNA". The stretch from base 138 to 291 matches the Rfam family "5.8S ribosomal RNA". Lineage: Eukaryota; Fungi. The record is from RNAcentral.